CCCGUAUUUCCGUGCGUGCUUGACCGAUGGAAUGGCUCUAGCACCAUGCAAAUUCGGCGU
This 60-nucleotide microRNA precursor is filed under the name Pristionchus pacificus. RNAcentral describes it as "microRNA ppc-mir-83 precursor". Its record names the gene ppc-mir-83. The record is from miRBase by way of RNAcentral. Lineage: Eukaryota; Metazoa; Nematoda; Chromadorea; Rhabditida; Neodiplogasteridae.